RNAcentral lists this ribosomal RNA (253 nucleotides) under uncultured bacterium. RNAcentral describes it as "partial 16S ribosomal RNA". It matches the Rfam family "Bacterial small subunit ribosomal RNA", at positions 524 to 776 of the family's 1533-position model. The record is from RNAcentral.
GACGAACCGUGCGAACGUUGUUCGGAAUCACUGGGCUUAAAGGGCGCGUAGGCGGCCUGGCGCGUCCGGGGUGAAAGCCUCCAGCUCAACUGGAGAAGUGCCCCGGAUACGGCCAGGCUCGAGGGGGGUAGGGGCGUGCGGAACUUCCGGUGGAGCGGUGAAAUGCGUAGAUAUCGGAAGGAACGCCGGUGGCGAAAGCGGCGCGCUGGACCCCUUCUGACGCUGAGGAGCGAAAGCCAGGGGAGCGAACGGG